This 500-nucleotide ribosomal RNA is filed under the name uncultured bacterium. RNAcentral's name for it is "partial 16S ribosomal RNA". It matches the Rfam family "Bacterial small subunit ribosomal RNA", at positions 30 to 523 of the family's 1533-position model. The record is from RNAcentral.
AUUGAACGCUGGCGGAAUGCUUUACACAUGCAAGUCGAACGGCAGCACGGACUUCGGUCUGGUGGCUAGUGGCGAACGGGUGAGUAUUGUAUCCGAACGUGCCCAGUCGUGGGGGAUAACGUAGUGAAAAUUACGCUAAUACCUCAUACGAUCUAUGGAUGAAAGCGGGGGAUCGCAAGGCCACGCGCCAUUGGAUCGCCCUAUAUCAGAUUAGGGAGUAGGUGGGGUAAAGGCACACCAAGCCAACGAUCUGUAGCUGGUCUGAGAGGACGACCAGCCACACUGGAACUGAGACACGGUCCAGACUCCUACGGGAGGCAGCAGUGGGGAAUUGUGGACAAUGGGCGAAAGCCUGAUCCAGACAUUCCGCGUGCAGGAUGAAGGACCUCGGGUUGUAAGCUGCUUUUGUACAGAACGAAAAGGUUUCUACUAAUACUAGGAGCUCAUGACGGUACUGUAAGAAUAAGCACCGGCUAACUACGUGCCAGCAGCCGCGGUAA